AACGCACCUUGCGCUCCUUGGUAUUCCGAGGAGCUUGCCUGUUUGAGUGUCAUGGAAUUCUCAACCUUUGAAAGCUUUUAUCGGUUCUCAAAGGCUUGGACUUGGAGGUCGUGUCGGCUCUGCAAAGAAUAUCGACUCCUCUGAAACGUAUCAGUGCGAACCUUUACGGAUCGUCUUCGGUGUGAUAAAUGUCUACGCCGUGGUUUGUGAUGCCACCUUUCAGGUGUUGAGGGAUCGGCUUCUAAUCGUCCCCCCCGGGACAAUUAACUUUGAAAUCUGACCUCAAAUCGGGUGGGACUACCCGCUGAACUUAA
This 314-nucleotide ribosomal RNA is filed under the name uncultured fungus. Its description in RNAcentral is "eukaryotic LSU rRNA". The record is from RNAcentral. Lineage: Eukaryota; Fungi.